GUGCUCGCUUCGGCAGCCCUUAUACUAAAAUUGGAAUGACACAGAGAAGAUUACCAUGGCCCCUGUGCAAGGACCGCAUGCAAAUUCAUGAAGAGUCCCGUAUUUUC
RNAcentral lists this small nuclear RNA (107 nucleotides) under Spermophilus dauricus (Daurian ground squirrel). Lineage: Eukaryota; Metazoa; Chordata; Mammalia; Rodentia; Sciuridae. The record is from RNAcentral.